This 468-nucleotide ribosomal RNA is filed under the name uncultured bacterium. RNAcentral's name for it is "partial 16S ribosomal RNA". It matches the Rfam family "Bacterial small subunit ribosomal RNA", at positions 28 to 507 of the family's 1533-position model. The record is from RNAcentral.
GACGAACGCUGGCGGCGUGCUUAACACAUGCCAGUCGAACGGAAAGGCCCUGCUUUUGUGGGGUGCUCGAGUGGCGAACGGGUGAGUAACACGUGAGUAACCUGCCCUUGACUUUGGGAUAACUUCAGGAAACUGGGGCUAAUACCGGAUAGGAGCUCCUGCUGCAUGGUGGGGGUUGGAAAGUUUCGGCGGUUGGGGAUUGACUCGCGGCUUAUCAGCUUGUUGGUGGGGUAGUGGUUUACCAAGGCUUUGACGGGUAGCCGGCCUGGGAGGGUGGCCGGCCACAAUGGGACUGAGGUACGGCCCAGAAUCCUACGGGAGGCAACAGGGGGGAAUAUUGCACAAUGGGCCGGAGCCUGAUGCAACAACGCCGGGUGCGGGAAGACGGCCUUUGGGGUGUAAACCGCUUUCGCCUGUGACGAAGCGUGAGUGACGGUAAUGGGUAAAGAAGCACCGGCUAACUACGUG